This 808-nucleotide ribosomal RNA is filed under the name uncultured bacterium. Its description in RNAcentral is "bacterial SSU rRNA". It matches the Rfam family "Bacterial small subunit ribosomal RNA", at positions 8 to 796 of the family's 1533-position model. The record is from RNAcentral.
AGAGUUUGAUCCUGGCUCAGAAUCAACGCUGGCGGCGUUGCCUAACACAUGCAAGUCGAACGCGAAAGUGGAGCAAUCCAUGAGUAGAGUGGCGAACGGGUGAGUAACACGUGGGUGACCUACCUUCGAAUGGGGGAUAACGUCCCGAAAGGGACGCUAAUACCGCAUAACAUCCUGCUUUUGAACAAGUGGAGAUCAAAGCCGGGGAUCGCAAGACCUGGCGUUUGAAGAGGGGCCCGCGUCUGAUUAGCUAGUUGGUGAGGUAACGGCCCACCAAGGCAACGAUCAGUAUCCGGCCUGAGAGGGCGGACGGACACACUGGGACUGAGACACGGCCCAGACUCCUACGGGAGGCAGCAGUGGGGAAUUGUUCGCAAUGGGCGCAAGCCUGACGACGCAACGCCGCGUGGAGGAUGAAGGUCUUCGGAUUGUAAACUCCUGUUGCUCGGGACGAAACGCCUCGACCUAACACGUCGAGGUCUGACGGUACCGGGUGAGGAAGCCCCGGCUAACUCUGUGCCAGCAGCCGCGGUAAUACAGAGGGGGCAAGCGUUGUUCGGAAUUACUGGGCGUAAAGGGCGCGUAGGCGGCCUUCUAAGUCGAACGUGAAAUCCCCGGGCUCAACCCGGGAACUGCGUCCGAUACUGGAAGGCUUGAAUCCGGGAGAGGGAUGCGGAAUUCCAGGUGUAGCGGUGAAAUGCGUAGAUAUCUGGAGGAACACCGGUGGCGAAGGCGGCAUCCUGGACCGGCAUUGACGCUGAGGCGCGAAAGCCAGGGGAGCAAACGGGAUUAGAUACCCCCGUAGUCC